UACGGAGGGGGCAAGCGUUAAUCGGAAUUACUGGGCGUAAAGCGCACGCAGGCGGUUUUUUAAGUCAGAUGUGAAAUCCCCCGGCUCAACCUGGGAACUUCAUCGGAUACUGGCAAGCUUGAGUCUCGUAGAGGAGGGUGGAAUUCCAGGUGUAGCGGUGAAAUGCGUAGAGAUCUGGAGGAAUACCGGUGGCGAAGGCGGCCCCCUGGACGGAGACUGACGCUCAUGUGCGAAAGCGUGGGGAGCAAACAGG
RNAcentral lists this ribosomal RNA (253 nucleotides) under uncultured bacterium. RNAcentral's name for it is "partial 16S ribosomal RNA". It matches the Rfam family "Bacterial small subunit ribosomal RNA", at positions 524 to 776 of the family's 1533-position model. The record is from RNAcentral.